GGCCGUUAGGCAGAACUACACUGCGUGUGCGGCAGGCUCAAUUUGUAUCCUUCGGGAGUUGUAAUUUGUAGGUUGGGAGACCCCGCGGCUAGUGGCACCAAGUCCCUUGGAACAGGGCGCCUUAGAGGUGAGAGCCCCGUAGGUACCACAACACCGUCUUGUGUCUCCUCUCCAAAGAGUCGAGUUGUUUGGGAAUGCAGCUCAAAGUGGGUGGUAAAUUCCAUCUAAAGCUAAAUACCGGCGAGAGACCGAUACGAACAAGUACAGUGAUGGAAAGAUGAAAAGCACUUUGAAAAGAGAGUGAAACAGUACGUGAAAUUGUUGAAAGGGAAGGGCUUGCAAGCAGACACGGCCUUCGUGCCGGGCCAGCAUCGGUUGCUAGGGUGGAUAAGGAACAAGGAAUGUAGCUCCUCGGAGUAUUAUAGCCUUGCGCGAUACACCCACUGGCGACCGAGGCCUGCGGUAUUCCUACCUAGGAUGCUGGCGUAAUGGUUGCAAGCCGCCCGUCUGAAACACGGACCACUGCAUAUCAAUAAGAGGCGGAAAAACAGCCCCUCUUCUUGAAAAAAAAAAAACCACCUCUUUUUAAAAAAAAAAAAAACACUUUUUUUUUUUUUAAAAAAAAAAAAACCCUUUUUUUUUUUAAAAAAAAAAAAGACGUUUUUUUUUUUAUAAAAAAAAAACACAUUUCUUUUUUUAGAAAAGAAAAGAUAU
Molecule: ribosomal RNA, 714 nt
Filed under: Sungouiella pseudointermedia
Lineage: Eukaryota; Fungi; Ascomycota; Pichiomycetes; Serinales; Metschnikowiaceae
Description: [Candida] pseudointermedia partial 26S ribosomal RNA
Rfam family: Eukaryotic large subunit ribosomal RNA
Source: RNAcentral